Molecule: long non-coding RNA, 434 nt
Filed under: Coturnix japonica (Japanese quail)
Lineage: Eukaryota; Metazoa; Chordata; Aves; Galliformes; Phasianidae
Description: lncRNA (ENSCJPG00005009857.1)
Source: RNAcentral
GCCAUGCCUCCGAGCAAGCUACAGAGCUCUGAACCGAUGGAGAGCUGACACCCAGCAGCCCCUGUAAAACAGAGGAAUAUAUUAAACAGUUGUAAACUGGAGGACAAGAAAUGAGUAAGAGCCUCGCUGUGAAGAAAGGCUCCUCAAAGUGUCUUGUGAUUGCAGUGUGGACUGAAUGCAAAGUCUCUUUGAGUGAUGAACCUGUUACCAAUGAGGACUCGAGAGGCCAAGUUAGGACACCGAAAGACCCUGUCAAAGGCCAGAUCAACAAAUGCAAUGAAUGGACUCUGCCAAGAGGACUCCGGAUUGAUGUAUCAGUGAAGCUUUUUGGCAAGGACGGUGAAGUACAUCAUGGAAUGUCUCAGGGACACAGAAGGUUUAAGUACAGGGAAGAUGAACCAAUGGCUCUCAUGAUGCAGAGUAUUCCCACGUAA